This 64-nucleotide non-coding RNA is filed under the name unclassified sequences. RNAcentral's name for it is "DUF3800-VIII RNA". It matches the Rfam family "DUF3800-VIII RNA". From Rfam's summary of the family: Bacteroidetes, Cyanobacteria, Firmicutes, Planctomycetes (1 example), Proteobacteria, Tenericutes (1 example). The record is from Rfam by way of RNAcentral.
AUCCCCCUGCUUCACCGAAACCUUGCGUACCACGCGAGGCACUUUAUAGGUGAAGUGGGGGGAU